Molecule: non-coding RNA, 237 nt
Organism: Vicia faba (fava bean)
Lineage: Eukaryota; Viridiplantae; Streptophyta; Magnoliopsida; Fabales; Fabaceae
Source: the annotation of a GenBank genome assembly
AUGGCAAGAGAUGAAUACGAACUGAGUGGUGAUAGUUUGAGAUCGUUUAGACUUCCGCCGCCGCCGGAGGCGAGCCCUAACGCGGCGACGCUUCAAUGUUAUCGCAAGAGAGAAACGGACGAAGAGAAAUGGAAGUAUGAGAAUUUCGAAGGGAAGAUGAAAAGCCACAAUAUCUGUGAAGCCAAAACGCACCGUUUUAUCCUCUUUAUUUUUUAUUUAUUAUCAUUAUUAUUUUGA